RNAcentral lists this ribosomal RNA (502 nucleotides) under uncultured bacterium. RNAcentral describes it as "bacterial SSU rRNA". It matches the Rfam family "Bacterial small subunit ribosomal RNA", at positions 30 to 529 of the family's 1533-position model. The record is from RNAcentral.
AUUGAACGCUGGCGGCAUGCCUUACACAUGCAAGUCGAACGGCAGCACGGGGGCAACCCUGGUGGCGAGUGGCGAACGGGUGAGUAACGCAUCGGAAUGUACCCAGUAGUGGGGGAUAACUAGUCGAAAGAUUAGCUAAUACCGCAUACGCACUGAGGUGGAAAGCGGGGGAUCGCAAGACCUCGCGCUAUUGGAGCAGCCGAUGUCCGAUUAGGUAGUUGGUGGGGUAAAGGCCUACCAAGCCUGCGAUCGGUAACUGGUCUGAGAGGACGACCAGUCACACUGGGACUGAGACACGGCCCAGACUCCUACGGGAGGCAGCAGUAAGGAAUAUUGGUCAAUGGAGGAAACUCUGAACCAGCCAUCCCGCGUGAAGGAUGAAGGGGCUCUGCCUUGUAAACUUCUUUUGAAUGGGACGAAAAAAGGGGAUUUAUCCUCGACUGACGGUACCAUUAGAAUAAGCACCGGCUAACUCCGUGCCAGCAGCCGCGGUAAUGUCGUC